RNAcentral lists this unclassified non-coding RNA (3329 nucleotides) under Hevea brasiliensis (rubber tree). Lineage: Eukaryota; Viridiplantae; Streptophyta; Magnoliopsida; Malpighiales; Euphorbiaceae. The record is from RNAcentral.
UCUCCUACCCAUCAAUUCUAACGCUACACAAGAAACGUUUUUGCUAUUUGGGUACCCUUCAAGUUUGGUGCUUUUGGCCGAGCAAUCAAGCAAAACUUUUGUUUCCUUUCUAAUAUUUGAUUUCAAGUGCAUGGCUCUUCACCCGACUGCCUUCUACUUUGGUGGUGUGGCUUUUAAUUCUCGUAAUUCCGUUGCUUUCAGACGUGGGAAUGUUGGAGCCUCUGGUUUCUCUUCUCCUCCUCUCGUUUCCAUUCCGCUAUCCAGUUUGCAAUGUAUGUGUAGCUCAUUUCUUGGAAUUGCAAGUGCCCUUUCUUUUUUAUCUGUAGCUUUUUUAAUGCGUUUUAAUUUUCAAUUUGAUGCUUUUAUGUUCUCUUUAUCUAAUGGGUACUGCAGAAUCUUAUGGGGAAAAUAAACUAGUGGAGGUAGAGUUACUCCAGACUGUUCAAAUUUGGUUGAAAAUUUAUUAAUCAUUUGCUUGAAUAUUUUGAUCGGGUUAAUAUGUUGCCUUUCUUGAUGUUCCUGUAUAAACUUGUUUGUUUUCGGAUAGAUGGUUUUCCUUGUUAGGAAAAGGGGUUUUAGUAGGUAAUAAGUAGCUUGUCAAAGUAGAGAUGUGUCUCUUCCGAGCAUACAGCCCCCAUGCCUCAUGGCUACAAGAAAUUCCUCAAACAGAAAAGCUCAGUGCAAGUUGAUAACUAAUGUUUGCCAUCAUUCAAUGAUUUUGUGUGAGAGGAUGGAAAUGCAAUUAAAAUGUAAGAAUUGAUCAGCAGAAUCUUGCCAUCAGAUCAAUCAUGAAAAUGCUUUUUUUGGCCUAGAUUAAUUGAAAACUGUGAUCAGAUCAAGUUCAUGUCCAACAAUCACCCACUUGAGUUCCAUAAAUCGUAUUUCACUUGAGAAAAAUAGUGUUCGAAAACCAAAAGAUUUGAGAUCUUGAUGAGCAUCUGCUUUACAUUUGAAAAUUACUUGCUUGAUGAUGUAUUGUCCUUUAAAAAUAUUAUGAGCACUUCUCUGUUAGAGCUGAUUUAUGUUGCAAGUACCAACAAUCGGCUUCUUUUCAGAGCUGCAAAUAACCAAGUCAAACUCUUCUCUUCCUUUUCUUUUGAAAAAUUGUGAAUAAACUGUAAACAAAAAUUCCCGCGGAAUUUGUUAAAAAUGGGAUGAAGUAUCAAUUUGCCCCGUGAACUUGUCAUCUAGGGAUAAAUAGCCCCAAAAUUAAUUUUAUGUGAAUUAGCCCAUAAGUUUUAUUUUUUGGGGCAAUUAAGUCCGAAAAAUCUGAUUAAAAGCCUAUAAAUACAUUCUCGAUUCAGUCAGAAUUAGUUCAGAGGGCAAAUUGCUACUUUAUCCAUGUUGUACUAUCAGAGCCUUUGGUGACCUUAUAAAGUUUUCUAGGAUUUGGUUAUGUUUUAUGCAUUGAAGUCCAAUCUCAGCUCAAUUCUGAGAUUUGUCUCUUUUGGCAGCCUACUAUUCCAUUCCUUUAUUAAUGAUUAAUGGAUCUCAUAAAUCGAUUCAUAACUUAUUCCAUUCCUUUUUAACAAUUAUUUACUUCCAUAAACAUUUUUUUUCUUGUUUCCAAUUUUCUGCAGCUGCUAACUUUGUUCUUACUUCUUUUAACUUCUAUUUGUCUUAGGUAAAGCAUUUUCAGGUGAUGGGUUAAAUGAAACAAAAGACUCCUCCCUGGUGGUUUGUUUUGGGGAAAUGUUGAUUGAUUUUGUUCCAACCACCAAUGGGCUUUCAUUGGCUGAAGCACCUGCAUUUAAAAAGGCUCCAGGAGGUGCACCAGCAAAUGUUGCGGUUGGUAUUGCUCGUCUUGGUGGCACCUCAGCUUUUAUUGGAAAGGUUGGUGAAGAUGAAUUUGGAUACAUGCUUGCCAAUAUUUUAGAGGAGAAUAAUGUGAACAAUGAAGGGAUACGUUUUGAUCCUGGUGCACGAACUGCUUUAGCAUUUGUUACAUUGAAAAAUGAUGGAGAACGUGAAUUCAUGUUUUACCGUAAUCCAAGUGCUGAUAUGUUGCUUCAAGAAGAUGAACUUGAUUUUAAUUUGAUUAGGAAGGCAAAAAUAUUUCAUUAUGGCUCUAUAAGUCUUAUAACAGAACCAUGCAAGUCAGCUCACAUUGCAGCAGCAAAAGCAGCAAAGGAUGCUGGUGUCCUCCUGUCCUAUGAUCCUAACCUGAGGCUUCCACUGUGGUCAUCUGCUGAUAGUGCAAGAGAAGGCAUUCUGAGCAUUUGGGAACUUGCUGAUAUUAUCAAGAUAAGUGAAGAAGAGAUAUCUUUCUUAACUAAAGGGGAGGAUCCAUAUGAUGAUGCUGUUGUUAGGAAACUAUUCCAUCCAAAUCUUAAAAUGCUUCUUGUCACUGAGGGUGCAGAUGGUUGCAGGUAUUACACCAAAGAGUUCAAUGGGAGAGUCAGGGGCUUAAAGGUUGAUGCAGUGGAUACCACGGGUGCUGGGGAUGCUUUUGUGGCAGGAAUAUUAUCACAGCUAGCUGAGGAUCUGUCCUUGCUUAAGGUAGUACCUUUCAGAAUUUAAGGUGCAAAAGGUUCUUAUUUCUUUCUGUCAAUUUGCAAUGUGUUCGCACACAUAUCCACGCAUCCACAUUUGCAUAUCUUGCAUCCUUGUACUGAUUUUUAUUUUUUACUGGGCAACAGGUGCAUAAUUGUUCAAAACAAAUGAACCAGGGUAAUAUGUAGACUAUCCAUGGUUUGUUACUAGAUACCAUCAUAGCAUUAGAAAAUUCAGUUUCUAGCAUGCGCAUAAAAUAGGAAAAGAAAAUCCAUGUUCAUUAUGUGGUUAUACUUUUACCUUGACUAAUUCCUGAAUCUGUUACUACUGAAUGUUUAGAUUUCACUUUUCCUUGUUUAGACAACUGUACAUUGCAAGUAGUACCUUUAGUAGUAUUUAUGCAUCUAACUGCGACUUUUUUAAUCAUGUAGAAUGAGCACCGAUUAAGAGAUGCUCUUGCGUUUGCUAAUGCUUGCGGUGCAUUGACUGUGACGGAGAGAGGUGCAAUUCCAGCUUUGCCAACCAGAGAAGUUGUGCAGAAUGCCAUCCUGAAGUUUGUAGCAUAGGGUUUACACAAGAUGUCUACAACCCAGACUUAUGCCCAUUCUUUGGAUUAGUGAAUGGUGAUAAUGCUAGUGCUGGAUGCCAGCAUAGAAUCUAAUUUUCUUAAAUAAUUCAAACAUUUGCUAGUCUGUUCAUGCUGCUGCAAGUUUUUCCAUAAUUUAUUGAGUUCAAUUAUUUUGAUUCGGCAGGUUGUAUCAACCCCAUGCAUUUUACUGUUAUUAACAUAAGCAGUCAUGCUGAUAAGCAACACCCACAAGAUAAAGUUACUAAUU